Molecule: ribosomal RNA, 302 nt
Filed under: uncultured Pelotomaculum sp.
Lineage: Bacteria; Bacillati; Bacillota; Clostridia; Eubacteriales; Desulfotomaculaceae
Description: bacterial SSU rRNA
Rfam family: Bacterial small subunit ribosomal RNA
Source: RNAcentral
GGUUAGUCCGCACGAGCGCAACCCUACGUUUAGUUGCUAACAGGUGAAGCUGAGCACUCUAGACGAACUGCCGUUGACAAAACGGAGGAAGGUGGGGAUGACGUCAAAUCAUCAUGCCCCUUAUGUUCUGGGCUACACACGUGCUACAAUGGCCGGUACAGACGGAGGCGAAGCCGCGAGGCGGAGCAAAUCCGAAAAAAGCCGGUCUCAGUUCGGAUUGCAGGCUGCAAUUCGCCUGCAUGAAGUCGGAAUCGCUAGUAAUCGCAGGUCAGCAUACUGCGGUGAAUACGUUCCCGGGCCUU